GCUUCCGUGGUGUAGCGGUCUAAUACGUCUGACCCGGCUUGUCAGACUGUCUAGACGUGGGUUCGAAUCCCAUCGGUGGCG
Phthorimaea operculella (potato tuberworm) is the source of this 81-nucleotide non-coding RNA. The record is from the annotation of a GenBank genome assembly. NCBI's taxonomy places the organism in Eukaryota, Metazoa, Arthropoda, Insecta, Lepidoptera, Gelechiidae.